UUCCAGACUCCUACGGGAGGCAGCAGUGAGGAAUAUUGGUCAAUGGCCGGAAGGCUGAACCAGCCAUGCCGCGUGAAGGUCAGUGCCCUAUGGGCGUUAAACUUCUUUUGUGCGGGAGCAAUAAUGGUCACGUGUGGCCAGACGAGAGUACCGUACGAAUAAGCAUCGGCUAACUCCGUGCCAGCAGCCGCGGUAAUACGGGGGAUGCAAGCGUUAUCCGGAUUUAUUGGGUUUAAAGGGUGCGCAGGCGGCACGGCAAGCCGGCGGUCAAAUCGCGGGGCUCAACCCCGCCCAGCCGUCGGAACUGCCGGGCUAGAGUGGGCGAGAAGUGCGCGGAAUGCGUGGUGUAGCGGUGAAAUGCAUAGAUAUCACGCAGAACUCCGAUUGCGAAGGCAGCGCACCGGCGCCCUACUGACGCUCAGGCACGAAAGCGUGGGUAUCGAACAGGAUUAGAUACCCUUGUAC
Molecule: ribosomal RNA, 465 nt
Filed under: uncultured bacterium
Lineage: Bacteria
Description: bacterial SSU rRNA
Rfam family: Bacterial small subunit ribosomal RNA
Source: RNAcentral